RNAcentral lists this non-coding RNA (45 nucleotides) under Schistosoma haematobium. The record is from RNAcentral. Lineage: Eukaryota; Metazoa; Platyhelminthes; Trematoda; Strigeidida; Schistosomatidae.
AUUCAGCUGACGAGUCUCAAAUAGGACGGAACGCGCGUCCUGGAU